GAUGAACGCUGGCGGCGUGCUUAACACAUGCAAGUCGAACGAAGCACUUUGAUGGAUUCCUUCGGGUUGAAGCCAAAGUGACUGAGUGGCGGACGGGUGAGUAACGCGUGGGUAACCUGCCUCAUACAGGGGGAUAACAGUGAGAAAUCAUUGCUAAUACCGCAUAUGCCAUAGGUACCACAUUGUGCUAGUGGGAAAGGAGCAAUCCGCUAAUAGAUGAGCUUGCGUCUGAUUAGUUAGUUGGUGGGGUAACGGCCUACCAAGACGACGAUCAGUAGCCGGACUGAGAGGUUGAACGGCCACAUUGGGACUGAGAUACGGCCCAG
This 326-nucleotide ribosomal RNA is filed under the name uncultured bacterium. RNAcentral's name for it is "bacterial SSU rRNA". It matches the Rfam family "Bacterial small subunit ribosomal RNA", at positions 28 to 334 of the family's 1533-position model. The record is from RNAcentral.